GCCGAAGUGGUGGAAUGGCAGACACGCAUGGUUCAGGACCAUGUGCUCGCAAGGGCAUGAGGGUUCAACUCCCUCCUUCGGCACCA
Molecule: transfer RNA, 86 nt
Filed under: Armatimonadota bacterium
Lineage: Bacteria; Bacillati; Armatimonadota
Description: Armatimonadetes bacterium (anaerobic digester metagenome) tRNA-Leu
Rfam family: tRNA
About the family: Transfer RNA (tRNA) molecules are approximately 80 nucleotides in length. Their secondary structure includes four short double-helical elements and three loops (D, anti-codon, and T loops).
Source: RNAcentral